Molecule: non-coding RNA, 768 nt
Organism: Chiloscyllium plagiosum (whitespotted bambooshark)
Lineage: Eukaryota; Metazoa; Chordata; Chondrichthyes; Orectolobiformes; Hemiscylliidae
Source: RefSeq, a predicted model, not a curated record
CUCAUCUAAACUCUGGUUUCCAGUAUCUGCAGUCCUCACUUUUGCCUAGAGAGACAAACAGACAGACAGAGAAUAUAGAUGAGGAGAUGUCAACAUAGAGAAAACCAGAUUAUCAGCAGAAGUGGAUGUACUUCGCUUUUUGUUUUGCUUCAUCAAUGUCUUCUGGAAGUCCAGAUAUAUCGCAUCUUCAGGAUCCUCAUCAUCCACCUUGCUUGUUAGAACUUCAAAGAGCUGAAGCAAAUAAUUCUAAUAUGAUUUAGCCAUCACAAAACCACACUGACUCUGAUGUACUGUGGUUUGACUUUUCAAAUCUCCUGUUGUUGAUUCCUUGAGAACAGAUUCUAAACAUUUGCCUGAAAUUCAAAUAGUUGGCUCGCUAUUUUUAAAUUCCCUGUUGAAGAUGUUUAUUCUAAGUUCUUCCAUUUUUGUAGCCUCUACCAUUCCCUUUAAAUUUAUGUGUAAUGGGCACAAGGCUUUAAAAGAUCUGCUUCGAUUGCUUUGUAAGAGGCAUCAGUGGCUGAAUGAAUUCAUUCUGUCCCUGGUAUAUAAACUCAAUGUGAUCAGAAGACCAAAUUGAAUACCAUUCUGUAAAGGAGCUUUUGGGCGUAGUGACCAUAGUACAUUGAAUUUUAUAUGACGCCUGAGAACAAAACAUUUUUAUUUUGAUUUGAAAUUACAGUUAUAAACUUCAGUCCAUGCAAGUCAUGAAGGUAUAAGAGGUAAAUUGGCUUCAGUGAAUUGGAAAAAUACAUUAAAAAAUUAAUGGAA